This 905-nucleotide long non-coding RNA is filed under the name Neogobius melanostomus (round goby). Its description in RNAcentral is "lncRNA (ENSNMLG00000022914.1)". Lineage: Eukaryota; Metazoa; Chordata; Actinopteri; Gobiiformes; Gobiidae. The record is from RNAcentral.
GUUUAAUAAAUUGCCUUGCUGGUGGUGAUGGUUGGCAGCAGCACAUUUCCGGCAGAAUAAAAACAAAGCAAGCACGACACCGGAAAUGGCCACGGGAAAGAAAGUUAAAAAAAAAAAAAAAAAAGAUCUGAACGCAGUCAAAACAUAAACACAGCAGCAGAAGCACGUAGCCUGGUGCAGACGCAGUUAGCUCGCUUCGUACUCCGUUUCCGCAAGCCUCCCUCAUGCCUCUUAUUUCCCACCAGAGACAUCAAACUCGAGGCACUUAGCCCGUUUUUCGAUGAACGGCGUGCGGACAGUAACAAAUCUGCGGUAAAGAUUAGGACUGAACUCAGGAGUGCGCUUCGUCGGGCCUUCGCUUCGCAGAGGUUGCCCCGCGCAGCAUAAUCAGGAAGAGAGGAUGGCUGAGGCAGACGAUAAAUCCACAGUGCUUAACGGUGGCACAGAAGAAAAAGACCCAGAGGAGGAUCAGCACAAAGAUGGAGAUUCCUCUGGAAGCAAAGAGGGACAAGCACAGUCUUCAAAUGCAGACGCUCCAAAAGAACCCGGAGAGGGCUCGGCGGACAAGCCGAUGCCUGACGCGGAGGCAGGAGGGGACGGCAACAACAACAACGAGGACGCAGAGAACGAGGAGGACACGGACAGUAUGGACGGCAGCGGGCUGUACUCUUUAACUGAGGACGGAGAGCGAGAGAGCGAAGGAGGCAGGCGGGAGCGGACCAGGGCCAAAGACGCUGCUAAAAGAGCUGCGCGAAAGAGGAACCGGCCAGGAGGGGGCGCUAACCACUCCUCCAGCUCCGACGACGACGAUGAGGAGGAAGACGACGAGGAACAAAAAGAUGUAAGUGUUGAAUGUUGCUUGGAGAGUAUGGGCCUUUAUUAGUAUUAGCUCCUAAAUUUAGAAA